UUUGUGAUAUUAGGCAUUUGGAUGAUUGGGCAAAAAGCCAGCUGAUUGAAAUGCUCAAACAGGCAGCAGCCCUGGUGGUAACUGUGAUGUAUAGUGAUGGUUCCACCCAGCUAGGAGUUGACCAGACCCCCAUUUCCUCUGUUAAAGGAAUUGUGGUGUUACUAAAACGCCAAGCAGAGGGUGGCCAUGGUUGUCCAGAUGCCCCGGCCUGUGGUCCUGUUCUGGAGGGCUUUGUGUCAGAUGAUCCAUGUAUCUACAUUCAAAUAGAGCACUCUGCUAUCUGGGACCAAGAACAGGAGGCACAUCAACAAUUUGCCCGGAACGUGCUAUUUCAAACACUGAAAUGUAAAUGUCCUGUUAUUUGUUUUAAUGCUAAAGAUUUUGUGAGAAUAGUGCUGCAGUUUUUUGGUAAUGAUGGCAGUUGGAAGCAUGGGUUAUGGUUUAUGGCAGCUAUUUUGUACUUUGGAGCUUCCUCUGAUACCAAUUUUGGCAGUGAUGGAAAGCCAUGCCAUUCAGGUGAACAAAGAGGAGAUGGAGAAGACGUCAGCACUUCUUGGGGCUCGUCUCAAGGAAUUGGAGCAAGAAGCUCAUUUUGUUGCAGGAGAACCGUUUCUUAUAACAAGCAAUAACCAGCUUCGAGAGAUCCUCUUUGGCAAGUUAAAGCUGCACCUGCUGAGUCAAAGGAACAGUCUCCCCAGAACGGGGCUGCAGAAAUACCCGUCCACAUCAGAAGCAGUGAAUAUCCAAGGUAUCUCCAAGCACCCAAUUCAGAUUACUACACCUAAGAAUUUUAAAGGUAAAGAAGACAAGACUCUCACAAUCUCCCCGAGGGCCAUGUUUGUUUCAUCCAAAGGCCACACCUUUCUAGCAGCAGACUUUUCACAGAUUGAAUUGCGCAUUCUUGCACAUUUAUCUGGAGAUCCAGAACUUCUGAAGUUAUUCCAGGAAGCUGAAAGAGAUGAUGUAUUUUCUACUCUGACUUCACAGUGGAAGGAUGUGCCCAUGGAACAGGUGACACACGCAGACAGAGAGCAAACCAAGAAGGUGGUGUACGCAGUGGUCUAUGGAGCAGGGAAGGAGCGGCUUGCUGCUUGCCUCGGAGUUCCUGUUCAGGAAGCUGCCCAGUUUUUGGAGAGUUUUUUGCAGAAGUACAAGAAAAUCAAGGACUUUGCCCGAGCAGCUAUUGCCCAGUGUCACCAGACAGGCUAUGUGGUGUCCAUCAUGGGCAGAAGGAGACCCCUGCCAAGGAUUCACGCUCAUGACCAGCAACUGCGGGCACAAGCAGAGCGACAGGCAGUGAACUUCGUGGUGCAAGCUCAGAGCCAGCACCUCUGUGUGGAGGCACCGUGAGAGCUGUGGCGAUGGUGCAAAAUGCUGAGUGCACCAUGAACCGUGUGCCAUGGGACCUCAAGACAGCACCACGCGCCCCAUAGGCUCCGCUGCUGACCUCUGCAAGCUGGCCAUGAUCCAUGUCUUCACUGCAGUGGCUGCUUCCCGCACCUUGACGGCCAGGUCAGUGGGUGGCGGUCUCCCAGGGCUUGGAUGGGAGGGUUAGUGUUCUGUGGGAAGACCCUCUGGGGGCUCGCGAUUCUGACUGCUCACCAUCUCUGCUUAUCGGGCCCCCGUCCCCUCCCGAGGCUCUCAGCCCAUGGAAGGCCCUGGGGGCUAUUCACAGCAGGCAUGCAGACAACAACCAGACAUCCACCAGCGUGGGGUGCAGAUGAGGCCUCUCCAGACAGAAAUGCUGUCUCCCCCAGACCCCUCCUCCUCGGGGUGUCUGCACAGCACAGGGGCACCCCUUGGGGCUGCCCACCCCAGAGGCAGGCGAACCCUUCAGCCCCUUGAGCAGGACCCUGGGGACUCCAAACUGCCCCCACUCCUACCUGCUGCUGCCACCAAUGCCAGGCAGUGUGCCCCACGUCCAGCCCUGGCUGCAGCCCCGAGCCCAGAGCCAACAUUCAGACGUGCCUUGGUGGUGGGGGCUCUGCUGUGGCUGCCCCCCAGGCCACAGCUCUCUCUGUCCCUGCCUCAGUUAUUCCCCCAGGGCACAUACCUCAAGAGUGUGGGCAUCCAGGGUACAAGCAGCCCUCGCCCAGCCACCUCCUCCUUGCCAGCCAAGGCCUGGGGGUGCUGCAAGUGGUGAGACACCUCCUCUCCUCAUUCUCCUUGUGGGGGAUCCCCUCAGGAGUCCCGGAGCCCCUUCUGGGAGCUAACCUGCUCCAGCCCCCCACAGUGUCAGCCCCGGAAGGGCCUCUCGCCCUCUGACACACCAUGGACGUUUUCCUACCCCCACCCUAAGAGCCCUCAAGCUCUUGGUGCCAGUCCCGUGGGGGUCUAAGCACUGCCCCAGGGGCUCUGCUUGCAGCUUCACCGGGCUGUGGGCUCUCAGUGCGGCUUUUUGCAGUAACUGAAGUGGUCAGGAGGCAGGAGUGGGGCAUUCAAAGAUUCACUCUCGGCUAGGCACGGUGGCUCACGCCUGUAAUCCCAGCACUUUGGGAGGCCGAGGCGGGUGGAUCACCCUGAGGUCGGGAGUUUGAGACCAAUCUGGCCAGCAUGGCAAAAUGUCGUCUCUACUAAAAACACAAAAAUUAGCCAGGUGUGGUGGCGCAUGCCUGUAGUCCCAGCUACUCAGGAGGCUGAGGCAGGAGGAUCGCUUGAACCCAGGAGGUGGAGGUUGCAGUGAGCCGAGAUCGCACCACUGCACUCCAGCCUGGGCGAGAGCAAGACUCUAGCAAAAAAAAAAUAAUAAUAAGAUUCACUCUCAGUUCUCUUCUGCCCCAUCUCACUGCCAUCUGCAUUCAUUCCCAACACACAUGCAUGCAUGCACACACACAUACAUAGAUGCACACACAUGCACACACAAGCACGUGCGCCCAUACACAUGCACACACAUGAACACACACACGUGUUCACCCAUGCACACAACCCAUGCACACACAUACACGCAAAUACACUGAUGCCAGGCAGCCUCUAGUGCCCCAUGGUGUUCUCAUGGUGUCCUGAAAUCCAUGCAUCCUGCUCACUUCUACAGUUUCUGCAGGUAAAUUAUAGCUUCUCUCAGGAUUUGAGCAGCUUGUGCUAGUUUCCAUCUUGGCAGGAACUGAAAGCCAAAGGGUGGUCUUGCCUCUAAGAUACUGCAAGUCUAGAAAAGUUGAUUCAAGGCUGGGCGCAGUGGCUCACACCUGUAAUCCCAGCGCUUGGGAGGCCGAGUCGGGUGGAUCACUUGAGCUCAGGAAUUUGUGACCAACAUAUGUGUUGCCUCGGCAACAUAAUGAAACCUGUCCCUACAAAAAAAAAGCCAGCCAUGGUGGUGCACACCUGUAGUCCCAGCUACUCAGGAGGCUGAAGUGGGAGGAUCACCUGAGCCUGGGAGUUCGAGGCUGCAGUGAGCCAUGAUCAUACCACUGCACUCCAGCCUGGGCAACAGGACAAGAACCUGCCUCAAAAAAAGAAAAAGUUGGUUCACUUUCAGCCCUUGUGGAAUUGAUAAAGGAAGUUGGCAUGUGAGGAGCUGAGGUCUCUCUCUGUUGCUGACUGAGUCUUUCUAAAAGCUGGAUACAGACACUUUUACUCAGGAACGCAGUUACCCGCUGGUCAUCCUUCUAUCAUCAGCCAUUGGCUGUCACGAGGCAAUGCCUCUCAUAGCAAAAUGCAAAGCAGACUCGUGUGGAAUAUUGGGCACCCCACGGUCUGUGUUUUGUGAACGUGAUUUGUUCUUCCAGGAGUAACGUGAAAGGCUGUGGAUGGUGUCUGGAAGGGACGGGUGCAGGCUCAGUGUGACCGGACAUCUCUGCCUGAAGCACCAGGCAUGAAUCUCGAUCACUGGGAGGCACAUGGUGCCCCUAGAGUGAGCUGAGAUCGCACCACUGCACUCCAGCCUGGGCGAGAGUGAGACUCUGUCU
RNAcentral lists this small RNA (3902 nucleotides) under Pongo abelii (Sumatran orangutan). RNAcentral's name for it is "retained intron". The record is from RNAcentral. Lineage: Eukaryota; Metazoa; Chordata; Mammalia; Primates; Hominidae.